UGUUUAUUUCCGUUUAGUAUGUUUAUUUCUUGGGUUGUAAUUGUAAAUUGGAAAUGAAAUAGUAAAAGAAAUUGGAAACCACCACCUUAGGGUGGUGGAUGCUGCCACCGACCGUCGUGUCAGGUGGCGGUGUGCUUGUCUUGUGAGUUGACUCGAUUGGGGAUGCCUGAAAUCCUAAUGGGCUUUAUUAGCAUAAUGGGNGUGCUUUGCCUCGUAGUGUUGAUUCGUUUGGGGUGCUUGGAACCCUAAUGGGCCUAAAGAAGCUCAAAUGGGCCCAAUGAAGCUUAAUGGACUCUAAUGGACCCAAUAAAACCAUAAUGGGCUCANUGGGGAUGCCUGAAAUCCUAAUGGGCUUUAUUAGCAUAAUGGGCCCAAUGAAGCCAAAUGGGCUUAGUGAAAACCCUAAUGGGUCUAAUGGACUCUAAUUGACCCAAUAAGAUCCUAAUGGGCUUGAUGACAUUCUAGUGGACUUGAUAGGCCCAAUAAAGCACUAAAUAACCUAAAAGUCCAACAAAUUAAUAAAUGGGCUAGUAUUUGGGUUGGAAAACCUAAUUAGGGUUUGGAAAACUGUGACAUCCCCAAAAUCUCGGCCAGAAAAUACCGAUUUUCAUUUAUUCUUUUAAAAUAAUUUCAGAGUAAAUCCUUUUGAUUUGAAAGAGUUGUGGAAUUUAUUCCCAAAAACAAAGUAUGAUAAAAUAAUAUUUACCAAAACAUUUCAUAAAAAAUGUAUUUUCAUUAUAUAAUCAAAACUCGGGAUGUCAUGUUCCGAUAUACACCAUAAAGCAUAAACGAUAACAUUACAAGUCAUUCAACAAAUAUAUACAUACACAGACUUGUAAACAAAAUAACUUGAUGGUUAAUCCAUCCUAUGCCC
This 874-nucleotide long non-coding RNA is filed under the name Lactuca sativa (garden lettuce). RNAcentral's name for it is "long non-coding RNA (LSAT_LNC004387)". The record is from RNAcentral. Lineage: Eukaryota; Viridiplantae; Streptophyta; Magnoliopsida; Asterales; Asteraceae.